RNAcentral lists this transfer RNA (74 nucleotides) under Balta jinlinorum. RNAcentral describes it as "tRNA-Cys". Lineage: Eukaryota; Metazoa; Arthropoda; Insecta; Blattodea; Pseudophyllodromiidae. The record is from RNAcentral.
AGCUUUGUAUUCAAUUUAUGAUUGCAGAAUGCAAUUCUGUAGGAGUGAAAACUUGUAAUUGUUCACUAAGGCUU